GGAAGGAUCAUUAUUGAAUGAACUUGGUGUGGUUGUUGCUGGCCCUCUCGGGGGCAUGUGCACACCCACCAUCCUCAUCUCUCCACCUGUGCACCUCUUGUAGACCUGGAUAGACUUUCCGAGGCAACUCGGUCGGGAAGAUUGCUGCGCUCUGUGAGCCAGCUUUCUUUGCAUGUCCAGGCCUAUGUUUUUCAUAUACCCCUAUAGAAUGUAACAGAAUGUAUCAUUGGGCCUUGUGCCUAUAAACCUUAUACAACUUUCAGCAACGGAUCUCUUGGCUCUCGCAUCGAUGAAGAACGCAGCGAAAUGCGAUAAGUAAUGUGAAUUGCAGAAUUCAGUGAAUCAUCGAAUCUUUGAACGCACCUUGCGCUCCUUGGUAUUCCGAGGAGCAUGCCUGUUUGAGUGUCAUUAAAUUCUCAACCUUAUUAGCUUUUGUUGAUAAUGGAUUGGAUGUGGGGGUUUAUUUGCUGGCUUCUUCACAGAGAUCAGCUCCCCUUAAAUGCAUUAGCUGGUGCCCCGCGUGGACCAUCUAUUGGUGUGAUAAUUAUCUACGCCGUGGAUGUCUGCAAUCAUAUGGGUUUUGCACUGCUUCUAACCGUCUGUUCAUUCGGACAAUACAUGACAAUUUGACCUCAAAUCAGGUAGGACUACCCGCUGAACUUAAGCAUAUCAAUAAGCGGAGGAAAAGAAACUAACAAGGAUUCCCCUAGUAACUGCGAGUGAAGCGGGAAAAGCUCAAAUUUAAAAUCUGGCGGUCUCCGGCCGUCCGAGUUGUAAUCUAGAGAAGUGUUAUCCGCGCUGGACCGUGUACAAGUCUCCUGGAAUGGAGCGUCAUAGAGGGUGAGAAUCCCGUCUUUGACACGGACUGCCAGGGCUUUGUGAUGCGCUCUCAAAGAGUCGAGUUGUUUGGGAAUGCAGC
Molecule: ribosomal RNA, 919 nt
Filed under: uncultured fungus
Lineage: Eukaryota; Fungi
Description: eukaryotic LSU rRNA
Rfam family: Eukaryotic large subunit ribosomal RNA (bases 628-919)
Source: RNAcentral